CGUACACUCCUACGGGAGGCAGCAGUGGGGAAUAUUGGACAAUGGGCGCAAGCCUGAUCCAGCCAUGCCGCGUGAGUGAUGAAGGCCCUAGGGUUGUAAAGCUCUUUCACCGGAGAAGAUAAUGACGGUAUCCGGAGAAGAAGCCCCGGCUAACUUCGUGCCAGCAGCCGCGGUAAUACGAAGGGGGCUAGCGUUGUUCGGAAUUACUGGGCGUAAAGCGCACGUAGGCGGAUCGAUCAGUCAGGGGUGAAAUCCCAGGGCUCAACCCUGGAACUGCCUUUGAUACUGUCGAUCUGGAGUAUGGAAGAGGUGAGUGGAAUUCCGAGUGUAGAGGUGAAAUUCGUAGAUAUUCGGAGGAACACCAGUGGCGAAGGCGGCUCACUGGUCCAUUACUGACGCUGAGGUGCGAAAGCGUGGGGAGCAAACAGGAUUAGAUACCCCUGUAGUCCCAUG
RNAcentral lists this ribosomal RNA (453 nucleotides) under uncultured organism. Its description in RNAcentral is "partial 16S ribosomal RNA". It matches the Rfam family "Bacterial small subunit ribosomal RNA", at positions 330 to 799 of the family's 1533-position model. The record is from RNAcentral.